GAUGAACGCUGGCGGCGUGCCUAAUACAUGCAAGUCGAGCGAACAGACGAGGAGCUUGCUCCUUCGACGUUAGCGGCGGACGGGUGAGUAACACGUAGGUAACCUACCUAUAAGACUGGGAUAACUUCGGGAAACCGGAGCUAAUACCGGAUAAUAUUUUGAACCGCAUGGUUCGAUAGUGAAAGACGGCUUUGCUAUCACUUAUAGAUGGACCUGCGCCGUAUUAGCUAGUUGGUAAGGUAACGGCUUACCAAGGCAACGAUGCGUAGCCGACCUGAGAGGGUGAUCGGCCACACUGGAACUGAGACACGGUCCAGACUCCUACGGGAGGCAGCAGUAGGGAAUCUUCCGCAAUGGGCGAAAGCCUGACGGAGCAACGCCGCGUGAGUGAUGAAGGUCUUCGGAUCGUAAAACUCUGUUAUUAGGGAAGAACAAACGUGUAAGUAACUGUGCACGUCUUGACGGUACCUAAUCAGAAAGCCACGGCUAACUACGUG
This 497-nucleotide ribosomal RNA is filed under the name uncultured bacterium. RNAcentral describes it as "partial 16S ribosomal RNA". It matches the Rfam family "Bacterial small subunit ribosomal RNA", at positions 28 to 507 of the family's 1533-position model. The record is from RNAcentral.